GGUUCAAAUGAGUCUAUUUGGUUUGGUUCGGUUUUUUCCCCCACCCCUACUUACCUCCAUGUUUUCAGCUCAUUACUCCACUACAUAUUUAAUACUAGAGGGGUACGCGGAAUAUUGUUUUAUUGUUGUUAAAAGUAUGAUUUUUUGGAUAAUGUAACUAUGUGAUCACUUUUAUUUGUUAAAAAUGUUAUUUGGUGUUUUUAUUGUGUUAUGUAGUAGUAAUAAUGAUAUGUUAAUAUAUUUUGUCUUUGUUUUUUCAAUAAUGUGUUUUGUCUGUAUAGUAGUGAAGUGAACCUCUAAUAUAAAAAUAUAUUGAAUUUCAAUAACUUUGCAUUUAUGCAUUUGUUGAUUCUAAGAUUAACGGUUCCAGCGUCAAAAUUGUCUUUUAUUUUUUUCAUAUUUUUGAACAUUAUAACUUUCAAGAUG
Molecule: long non-coding RNA, 426 nt
Filed under: Brassica napus (rape)
Lineage: Eukaryota; Viridiplantae; Streptophyta; Magnoliopsida; Brassicales; Brassicaceae
Description: long non-coding RNA (BNAP_LNC024129)
Source: RNAcentral